UCCUCAAUGGUCUAGUGGUCAUGAUUUCCGCUUGUCAAGCCUCACAGCUCUACAAGCGCGGGAGAGUAAGCAACCACCGCAGCCAUUGCCUGAUUAUCAAUCAUGCUAACGGAUGUCACAGCCAGGGUUCGAUUCCCUGUUGGGGAG
Molecule: transfer RNA, 147 nt
Filed under: Lophium mytilinum
Lineage: Eukaryota; Fungi; Ascomycota; Dothideomycetes; Mytilinidiales; Mytilinidiaceae
Rfam family: tRNA
About the family: Transfer RNA (tRNA) molecules are approximately 80 nucleotides in length. Their secondary structure includes four short double-helical elements and three loops (D, anti-codon, and T loops).
Source: Rfam by way of RNAcentral